RNAcentral lists this unclassified non-coding RNA (316 nucleotides) under Basidiomycota sp. RNAcentral's name for it is "partial contains small subunit ribosomal RNA, internal transcribed spacer 1, and 5.8S ribosomal RNA". The stretch from base 1 to 47 matches the Rfam family "Eukaryotic small subunit ribosomal RNA", at positions 1785 to 1831 of the family's 1831-position model. The record is from RNAcentral. Lineage: Eukaryota; Fungi; Basidiomycota.
AAAGUCGUAACAAGGUUUCCGUAGGUGAACCUGCGGAAGGAUCAUUAUUGAAUGAACUUGGCGUGGUUGUUGCUGGCCCUCUCGGGGGCAUGUGCACACCCGCCAUCUCCAUCUCUCCACCUGUGCACCUCUUGUAGACUGGAAUAGACUUUCCGAGGCAACUCGGUCGGGAGGAAUGCUGUCGCUUUGCGUCGGCUUUCUUUGCACUUCCAAGCCUAUGUUUUUCAUAUACCCGUAGUAUGUAACAGAAUGUAUCAUUUGGGCCUCAGUGCCUAUAAACCAUAUACAACUUUCAGCAACGGAUCUCUUGGCUCUC